Molecule: ribosomal RNA, 443 nt
Filed under: uncultured bacterium
Lineage: Bacteria
Description: partial 16S ribosomal RNA
Rfam family: Bacterial small subunit ribosomal RNA
Source: RNAcentral
CCUACGGGAGGCAGCAGUGGGGAAUAUUGGGCAAUGGGGGAAACCCUGAUCCAGCGACGCCGCGUGAGUGAAGAAGUAUUUCGGUAUGUAAAGCUCUGUCAGCAGGGAAGAAAGGAAUGACGGUACCUGACUAAGAAGCCCAGGCUAACUACAUACCAGCAGCCGCGGUACUACGUAGGGGGCAAGCGUUAUCCGGUUUUACUGGGUGUAAAGGGAGCGUAGACGGCGAUGAAAGUCUGAAGUGAAAGGCGGGGGCUCAACGCACGGACUGCUUUGGAAACUGUAUGGCUGGAGUGCAGGAGAGGUAAGUGGAAUUCCUGGUGUAGCGGUGAAAUGCGUAGAUAUCAGGAGGAACAUCGGUGGCGAAGGCGGCCUGCUGGACUGCAACUGACGCUGAGGACCGAAAGCGUGGGGAGCAAACAGGAUUAGAUACCCUAGUAGUC